GUAUUCGCGGGCCGCGGGGUCGCCGCCGGCCGCCCAGGCGCGGAGCCUCUCGGGGGUCACCCGGCCGCCGGGCCCGCGGGACGCACGGGGCCGCCAGGGGAGGACAACAAGCCUCAGGCCCUGUCCCUGCGCCCCGCCCGGCCUCCCCCGCGGGGCUGCGCAGCCCACUCGGCCAUCCUGGCCUGAAGGGGCCGCCCCCGGCCUCGCGGGAAAGCCUGAGCCUCCCGGGCCUUCUCGGGCCUUCUCGGACUUUCCCCCAGGCGUCCUGGACCUUCUUCGGCCUUCCUGGGCCUCCUCGGGCUUCCUUGACCCUCCCCAGGCCUUCCCCGAGGCCUCCAGGCCCUUCCCUGGGCCUCUCCAGGCUGAGCUCUCCGCGACAUGGCCAGUGGGCCUCUGGGACCCGGGGCCCGGCCCACCCGCCUCCACCCUCCAUUCCCACCGCCUGCUCACAUCAAGCCAGGAGCACCGCCCGGAUGAACACGCAGGGUUCCGGACCAAUACCUGGGCCAUUGUGACUCUCAGAAUGCCAGGCAAUAAGAGAUCAGAAAGCUGGUUCCACUUCAUCUUGGAGAUGGAGGAAAGCUUGCCAGAACAACUGCACACCCCAUCCACUCCUCAUGUUCUCAGUUUGUUCUUCUCUGUGAUACAACCAGCAUCACGAGAACAGCCAGCAGCAGCUCCAGCGUGAUAAAAUUUUCACUCCUUGACAAGUGUAAGAAGCCGGAAAACUGUGCCCAGCCAGAAGUUUUGUGUCGCCCCUUUGAGAUGCUGUCUAACCUCCACGAGCUGCUUCCGAAUCACCUGAUGGAGACGCUUUAUUCCCGCAAGAGUGAAGAGGACAAGAAAAAAUGUGAGAAUCCUGAACUCUCUGGCUUAGAAAGAAUCUUAGCAAGACAUCAGUUGCCAAAAGAGAUUAAUCUGACCCCAAAGCCGAACAGAAUGCCCCCGUGGAAAAGAAAAAUCAUCAACAAUGUAACUGACGGGUGGAAGAAAUGUCACUUGUUGAAGAGAAACACGAAAGAGCCUCCAAUGUCCACCAUAGUUGUCAGAAAACUUAUUCAAAAAAAUGUACCCAGAAGACACAGCCUAAGGAAUACAAGCAGGAAACUGAGAAACCUGCCAACAACAGCUAAAGGGACACAAACAGGAAAAUCACAGUGCCUUCUGGGUAUAUCAGAACCUACCUGAAAUUCACAAACUCUAAACAAUGAAUGCUCAACUCUGUUGUAUGAAGUAGCCACAAUUACCAACCUUCCUGCACAAAUCAAACAAGAGAUAUCUUAAAAUAGGAAUGAUGCUGAAACUCUACAGCUUUUGUGUGAAACACAUAGAAGAAGAAAGUAAAACAGGACAAACUCCGUGGGCAGGCUCCACCUGACUAGAGGAUUCCAAUGAAGGACUCAAACUGGACACCAAAUCCACAUAGUUCUGCCUGGCAGCUUCCUGAACGGACGAUGACAAACAACCUCAGCCCAUGGUCAAUGAAUAAGCACUUUGAGAAAGUUACUAUACUAAUAACUAACACCUUGCAAUGAAGAAAGAAUAGAAGCACAUCAAGAUCUUGAAGACUCCAUUUACAAUGGCUUAAUGAGAAGCACAAACUUCUUUAGAAGUACAGCAAAUAAAAGCACAGUAACUAGUAAACUCACCUUGGGCAGGCUGCCAAGGGCAUUCCAUGCGUCCCAUUUGGCCUUGUUGAUCAAGUCAAAUACACCUGGUUUGGGCAUGUUACAAGGUCCUUCAGUGGCCUGUGAAAAGGAGAGGGGCAAUAUGUUCAAAUGUCCAUGUAAACUAGACCCCUAAAUAUUUAAGAUCCAUAAAAUCUGUAAGUACA
Long non-coding RNA from Homo sapiens (human), 1834 nucleotides. Ensembl annotates it as testis expressed 56, pseudogene. Its record names the gene TEX56P. The record is from Ensembl. Lineage: Eukaryota; Metazoa; Chordata; Mammalia; Primates; Hominidae.